GUAGGUGUCACUUCCGCUUCCUUUUUGACUUGUGUUAAUGUGUGCUAUCUUGUUCUCUCUGCUAACUUCAAUCGGUGCUCCAAUCUUCGACCAGGGCGGGGGCGUUUACAGGCGUGACAUCCAAGCACGUAAAAACACAAAGAGGAGAGAGUGCGCCAGAACCACACGAUCAUGAAAGUGACGACGUGUGACCCUUCCCUGUGGAGGUGUCACCUCCUUCUUCAAACACAUUUAGCAGGACAAGACUGUUUCAUAAAUCGACCGUCAGAAGUGGACAACCUGCUCGAGUUUCAGCGGCAGAUGAAUCGUUGGUGAAGAGGUCAACCUCCCAGCAGGAGGACCGGCCAGUGUGGGGCCAUUGUUCCAUCUCAGGGGGGUUAGUCCAAGACCACCAAGGUCGCGGGGGAAGCAGCCUAAGCAGAGAAGCCCAGACGUCACUCUCCCCAGCCACUUGGUGCAGCUCUACCCGGAGAUCCCCAGGCAUUCCCAGGCUAGCCGGGUCUUCCCCGUGGCCUCCUAUAGGUAGGACGUGCCCAUAACACUUCCCCAGGGAGGGAAAUAAAAGAAAGACGCCUAUCUGCCUAUCUGUUGAAGCAAGACCGUUUUUUUUCCCCCUACGACAUUUUAGCAAAAAAAAGUAAAAAAAAAAGAAAACAGAAGCAUUUUCUGCCAUUUCCAGUUUUAUGGAACUCCUGAUGAGGUUUUGGGACAUCUCCUACAACUACAGGACCAGUAUUGAGCUGUUGAAGCAAGACCGUUUAUUUUUUAUUUUUGGGUUAAGACCUUUUAGCGAAAAAAAGGUUUUGAAAAAUAUACAUUUUCUGCCAUUUUUGGGUUUUGUUGGGACUCCUGAUGAAGUCUUGAGACAUCUUCUACUACUACAGGACCAGUAUUGUGCUAUUGAAGCAAGACAUUUAUUUUUUAUUUUUGUGUAAGAUCUGUGGAUCCCUCAGGCGGUACUGCAUCAAAAAGCGACAACAGUGUGUAAAGGAUAUCACCACAUGGGCUCAGAAUAUUAAUAUGUAAUUCGUAUGUAUGUGGGCCCAUAUGGGCCCUUACAUAUUAGCGACAAUUUUUUUUCUUUUUCUAAAUAUGCAUUUUCUGCCAUAUUCGGGUUUUGUUGGGACUCCUGAUGAGGUUUUGAGACAUUUCCCUUGCAACUACAGGACCAGUAUUUAGCUGUUGAAACAAGACAGUUUUUUUUUAUUUUUGGGUAACGCCCCCCUUAACAAUAUUUUAGCGGAAAAAAGUUUUCAAAAAUAUACAUUUUCUGUCAUUUCCGGAUUUAUCGGGACUAAUGAUGUUUUAAGACGUCUCCUACAGUAUUGUGCUGUUGAAGCAAGACAGUUUUUGUUUAUUUUUGUGUUACGACAUUUUAGCAAACAAAAAAGUUUUCAAAAAAUACACAUUGCUGUCACUUACGGGUUUUGUUGGGAUUCCUGAUGAAGU
Molecule: long non-coding RNA, 1449 nt
Organism: Nerophis ophidion (straightnose pipefish)
Lineage: Eukaryota; Metazoa; Chordata; Actinopteri; Syngnathiformes; Syngnathidae
Exons: 3
Source: RefSeq, a predicted model, not a curated record